GGCCCAGGCAUGGAUCAAAGCUGGUGAAACGUCUUGACGUCAACUUCACAGACUAAUCAACCGUGGCCCCUGAGCAAUUUGCUCAAAAUUGCUUCAGAAAAAAAGGUUCAAGCAAGUUGAGUCUCAAGCAUCUGCUCAAACUCCAUGUAUGGGGGGCUAUUUCUCGCCAGGGACCAGGCCGAAGUUUAAUUGUUCACAGGAUCAUGGCUCGAGAUUUCUUUGAGGAAGAAAUCAUCAUCUUUACUGAAGACUCAUCUCUUCAGAGGGGUGCGUCACUUGAGUGGGUUGAGUCACUGACGUGAUCUUCCUGUCCGGGUUGGCACUGUGGCGGAGAUCUUUGUGGGCUAUACUCGACCUUGUCUCAGGAUGGACCUGAGCCCUAGGACCAUGCCUCAGGACUACCUGGCAUGAGGACUCCUUGCUGUCCCCAUUCCACCUGGCCGUGUUGCUUCUCCAGUUUCAACUGUUCUGCCUGCGGCUAUGGAACCCUGACCUGUUCACCGGAAGUGCUACCUGUCCCAGACCUGUUUUCAACUCUCUAGAGACAGCAG
Oncorhynchus tshawytscha (Chinook salmon) is the source of this 551-nucleotide long non-coding RNA. NCBI's taxonomy places the organism in Eukaryota, Metazoa, Chordata, Actinopteri, Salmoniformes, Salmonidae. The record is from Ensembl.